CUAAGAAUAUUCCGCAAUGGACGAAAGUCUGACGGAGCGACGCCGCGUGGAUGAUGAAGGCCGUGAGGUUGUAAAAUCCUUUUGUUGGGGAAGAAUAAUCAUGGGAGGGAAUGCCCGUGAGAUGACAUGAACCGAUGAAUAAGUCCCGGCUAACUACGUGCCAGCAGCCGCGGUAACACGUAGGGGAUAAGCGUUGUUCGGAAUUAUUGGGCGUAAAGGGCAUGUAGGCGGUUUUGUAAGUCUGGUGUGAAAUGGUUGGGCUUAACCCAAUCCUGCAUUGGAAACUGCGAAACUAGAAUCACUGAGGGGGAAUCAGAAUUCCAGGUGUAGGGGUGAAAUCUGUAGAUAUCUGGAAGAAUACCAGUGGCGAAGGCGGAUUCCUGGCAGAUGAUUGACGCUG
This 400-nucleotide ribosomal RNA is filed under the name uncultured bacterium. RNAcentral's name for it is "bacterial SSU rRNA". It matches the Rfam family "Bacterial small subunit ribosomal RNA", at positions 355 to 748 of the family's 1533-position model. The record is from RNAcentral.